GCUGAAUCUCUGCUAUUGCAACCCGAAAGAUGUUGAUCUUUACAAGAAGAGAAUGAAGCCCAGCGAAAGCUGGGUGGAGGUUCGACUUGCGUUCUAACGUGCAAAUUGAUGCUCUCAUUUUUGUAAAGGGGCGAAAUACUCAUCGAAACAUUUAGUAGCUGGUUCCUUUCGAAGUUUCUCCCAGGAUAGCUGUGUUUUAUUAAAGAGUCUUGCCAUGUAAAGCGAACGUUUAGAAGAUUUGGGGAUAACUUUUCCUCUGCUUAUUCACGAACUUUAAAUGGGCACGAAAAAAAGUUUAACUUAAUUUUGAAACUUUUAUUUGGAUCGAAAAAACAAUUAGUGGGCCUCUUCUGGUAAGCAGGACGGGCGAGGUGGGAUGCUCCAAGUGUUGUUGGUUAAAGUGCCAAAGUGUUCGCUAAUCUAGAUACCAAAAAAAGG
Molecule: ribosomal RNA, 438 nt
Filed under: uncultured eukaryote
Lineage: Eukaryota
Description: partial 28S ribosomal RNA
Rfam family: Eukaryotic large subunit ribosomal RNA
Source: RNAcentral